Monomorium pharaonis (pharaoh ant) is the source of this 459-nucleotide long non-coding RNA. RefSeq lists it as uncharacterized. The transcript has 2 exons. Lineage: Eukaryota; Metazoa; Arthropoda; Insecta; Hymenoptera; Formicidae. The record is from RefSeq and is a predicted model, not a curated record.
UCCUCGGUUUCUUGAAAGAAAAAAAAUUCUUUAAUAGCACUAAGCGUGUGAUUGACAAAAAAGUUCUUGCUCCUACAACUUUAGUUAUGAAAAGGUUCGCGGUAGACUUAUCUCAUUUUGCGGCAGCACAAGUCGAACGGGAAUUAUCGAUUUUUUGAUUAUAAAGGAAAACCGGCAAUUUUUUUGCUGCCUUUUUAGAGGAUUGUAGAGUUAACGACAAGAUGCAUAUCGUGAACUUGGUCGAGAUAAAAUCAAGAAAGACCGAUUUAACAUACAACGAGGUAUCGCAGCGUUACCGCAGACUUAAUUGAGCAUAAGCACGCACGCACUGAAUAAACGAGAGAGGCAACCUGCCGGAAGAAGUGUCCGCGUGUGAGACCGGCUUCUCGAUUACGGCCGAAGAAUUUGCAAUUAAGAAGAACUUUUUGGUCGAUCGUCCACGAUAGGGCACACAAAAAA